Molecule: signal recognition particle RNA, 261 nt
Filed under: Deltaproteobacteria bacterium HGW-Deltaproteobacteria-15
Lineage: Bacteria; Deltaproteobacteria
Description: signal recognition particle sRNA large type
Rfam family: Bacterial large signal recognition particle RNA
About the family: The signal recognition particle (SRP) is a universally conserved ribonucleoprotein involved in the co-translational targeting of proteins to membranes. Archaeal SRP consists of a 7S RNA and homologues of the eukaryotic SRP19 and SRP54 proteins. In most bacteria, the SRP consists of a 4.5S RNA and the Ffh protein (a homologue of the eukaryotic SRP54 protein).
Source: RNAcentral
CUGUGCUAGACGGGGAGCUAGCGGUGCCUUGUAACCCGAAAUCCGCUUAUGCGGGGUCGAAAGUCCCCGUUGAGGAUUUCAAUCCGACGAGUAUCCGAAUCGCUUGGAGCCAAGAGGUGGACCCCACGUGACAGACGGUUAUGAACCCCGUCAGGUCCGGAAGGAAGCAGCGGUAAGUAAUUUAGUCUGUGUCGUGGCGCUCUCUGCCUUUUCCCAUCGAAGAGGACUUGUCGGGCGUUGGAUUCGAACGGGGAUGCACGG